This 1258-nucleotide long non-coding RNA is filed under the name Sparus aurata (gilthead seabream). RNAcentral describes it as "lncRNA (ENSSAUG00010020234.1)". The record is from RNAcentral. Lineage: Eukaryota; Metazoa; Chordata; Actinopteri; Spariformes; Sparidae.
CUUUCUUUUCUUCUUCCGUUCCUCCGUUUCCUAUCUCAACCUUUUAUUUCCUGUUUUCCCUCGUUCCCCUUCUGAUUUACUUCCAUCCUUUCUCUCCUUUACAUGUCCGGGCCUCGAUAUCCUCAUUUUCACCUUGUUUCCUUUGUUUCUGUCUUUAUGAGUCAUUUCCAUCCAUCCCCUCAUUUCCCACCGUUCAUUUUCUUUGUGUCUCUCCUCAUCUUUCCUCCCCGUCUCUCCUUCCUACUUUCCCCGUCUCUCCUUCCUUCUUUCCCCGUCUCUCCUUCCCUCUUCCCCGUCUCUCCUUCCUACUUUCCCCGUCUCUCCUUCCUACUUUCCCCAUCUCUCCUUCCUACUUUCCCCGUCUUUCCUUCCUUCUUCCCCGUCUCUCCUUCCUACUUUCCCCGUCUCUCCUUCCUACUUUCCCCGUCUCUCCUUCCUUCUUUCCCCAUCUCUCCUUCCUACUUUCCCCGUCUCUCCUUCCUUCUUCCCCGUCUCUCCUUCCUACUUUCCCCGUCUCUCCUUCCUUCUUCCCCGUCUCUCCUUCCUACUUUCCCCGUCUCUCCUUCCUUCUUCCCCGUCUCUCCUUCCUACUUUCCCCGUCUCUCCUUCCUUCUUUCCCCGUCUCUCCUUCCUACUUUCCCCGUCUCUCCUUCCUUCUUUCCCCGUCUCUCCUUCCUACUUUCCUCGUCUCUCCUUCCUACUUUCCCCAUCUCUCCUUCCUUCUUUCCCCGUCUCACCUUCCUACUUUCCCCAUCUCACCUUCCUACUUUCCCCGUCUCACCUUCCUACUAUCCUCGUCUCUCCUUCCUACUUUCCGUGUCUCACCUUCCUACUUUCCCCGUCUCUCCUUCCUUCUUUCCCCGUCUCUCCUUCCUACUUUCCCCAUCUCUCCUUCCUCUUUCCCCGGUCUCACCUUCCUACUUUCCCCGUCUCACCUUCCUACUUUCCCCGUCUCUCCUUCCUACUUUCCCCCGUCUCUCCUUCCUACUUUCCCGUCUCUCCUUCCUACUUUCCCGUCUCUCCUUCCUACUUUCCCCGUCUCUCCUUCCUACUUUCCCCGUCUCUCCUUCCUUCUUUCCCCGUCUCUCCUUCCUACUUUCCCCGUCUCUUCUUCCUACUUUCCUCGUCUCUCCUUCCUACUUUCCUUGUCUCUCCUUCCUACUUUCCCCGCCUCUUCUUCCUACUUUUCCCGUCUCUCCUUCCUUCUUUCCCUAUCUCUCCUUCCUUCUUUCCCUGUCUCUCCUUCCUUCUUUCCCCG